RNAcentral lists this ribosomal RNA (253 nucleotides) under uncultured bacterium. RNAcentral's name for it is "partial 16S ribosomal RNA". It matches the Rfam family "Bacterial small subunit ribosomal RNA", at positions 524 to 776 of the family's 1533-position model. The record is from RNAcentral.
UACGAAGGGGGCUAGCGUUGCUCGGAAUCACUGGGCGUAAAGCGCACGUAGGCGGCUUUUUAAGUCAGAGGUGAAAUCCUGGAGCUCAACUCCAGAACUGCCUUUGAUACUGGAGAGCUUGAGUCCGGGAGAGGUGAGUGGAACUGCGAGUGUAGAGGUGAAAUUCGUAGAUAUUCGCAAGAACACCAGUGGCGAAGGCGACUUACUGGACACAUAUUGACGCUGAGGUGCGAAAGCGUGGGGAGCAAACAGG